Molecule: transfer RNA, 84 nt
Filed under: Anguilla anguilla (European eel)
Lineage: Eukaryota; Metazoa; Chordata; Actinopteri; Anguilliformes; Anguillidae
Description: tRNA-OTHER
Source: RNAcentral
GGCAGUGUAGCAUAAUGGGUAAGGAGUUGGCCUUGUAACCUAAACCUGGGGUCGCAGGUUCGAUUCCCUGGUAGGACACUGCCG